This 69-nucleotide transfer RNA is filed under the name Marmota monax (woodchuck). RNAcentral's name for it is "tRNA.Ala". The stretch from base 5 to 65 matches the Rfam family "tRNA", at positions 6 to 65 of the family's 71-position model. From Rfam's summary of the family: Transfer RNA (tRNA) molecules are approximately 80 nucleotides in length. Their secondary structure includes four short double-helical elements and three loops (D, anti-codon, and T loops). Lineage: Eukaryota; Metazoa; Chordata; Mammalia; Rodentia; Sciuridae. The record is from RNAcentral.
GGGAUGUGGCUCAGUGGUAGAGUGCUUGCCUAGCACAUAUGAGGCCCUGGGUUUGAUCCCCAGUACUCA